GAGCAACUAUAUCACCAAGAUCUAACCCAGCAGCAGCAGCAGCUGCUGUUGAUGCUUUUGCUGCUGAUGCUGAUGUUGCUGCGGUUGUUUUUGCUGCUGCUGCUAGGUUAGAUCUUGGUGAUAUAG
This 126-nucleotide small RNA is filed under the name Mytilus galloprovincialis (Mediterranean mussel). The record is from RNAcentral. Lineage: Eukaryota; Metazoa; Mollusca; Bivalvia; Mytilida; Mytilidae.